This is a long non-coding RNA of Trichomycterus rosablanca, 189 nucleotides long. RefSeq lists it as uncharacterized. The transcript is spliced from 3 exons. The record is from RefSeq and is a predicted model, not a curated record. NCBI's taxonomy places the organism in Eukaryota, Metazoa, Chordata, Actinopteri, Siluriformes, Trichomycteridae.
GCGUUGAGGGAACUUACAACAGAGGAUCUUUUGAAAAAGCUGGUGGAAGCAGACAUUAAUAUAACAUCGGGGGAAGCGCAGAAAUUUAGAGCAGGACAUGAUCCGAGUCAGACUUGGAGCAGAAGAUCCGUCCGUGGCCGAGCAGGACAUGAUCCGAGUCAGACUUGGAGCAGAAGAUCCGUCCGUGGC